AAGGGUAUAGCUCACUGGUAGAGGGCUUGCUUAGAAAGCAUGAGGUCCUGGGUUUGAUCCCCAGUACCUCCA
This 72-nucleotide transfer RNA is filed under the name Camelus dromedarius (Arabian camel). It matches the Rfam family "tRNA". Rfam says of the family: Transfer RNA (tRNA) molecules are approximately 80 nucleotides in length. Their secondary structure includes four short double-helical elements and three loops (D, anti-codon, and T loops). Further hydrogen bonds mediate the characteristic L-shaped molecular structure. tRNAs have two regions of fundamental functional importance: the anti-codon, which is responsible for specific mRNA codon recognition, and the 3' end, to which the tRNAs corresponding amino acid is attached (by aminoacyl-tRNA synthetases). tRNAs cope with the degeneracy of the genetic code in two manners: having more than one tRNA (with a specific anti-codon) for a particular amino acid; and 'wobble' base-pairing, i.e. permitting non-standard base-pairing at the 3rd anti-codon position. The record is from Rfam by way of RNAcentral. Lineage: Eukaryota; Metazoa; Chordata; Mammalia; Artiodactyla; Camelidae. RNAcentral also lists the same sequence under 2 other names.